AGUAGCGUGGCUCAGUGGAAAGAGCCUGGGCUUUGGAGUCAGAGGUCAUGGGUUCGAAUCCCAGCUCGGCCA
Non-coding RNA from Ornithorhynchus anatinus (platypus), 72 nucleotides. The record is from Rfam. NCBI's taxonomy places the organism in Eukaryota, Metazoa, Chordata, Mammalia, Monotremata, Ornithorhynchidae.